UGAAAAUAAAAACCCAACCACAAUACAAUUUGAAAAACAUUAACGCCGCCGUCAUAGAACAUUAAAACAAAAAAAAAAACCCAGCCGUAUUACAACACAAAACCAGCCGUAUUUACAAUUAAUAAUCCAGCCGUUGUGCAAAUCAAUGAAAAUAAACCCAGCCGUAUUACAACACAAAACCCAGCCGUAUUACAACACAAAACCCAGCCGUAUUAAAAACAACAUGAAAAGCAAUUGCUUAUAUCGGACAAGUUCUCGCAUUAUGUCCACUUUGACUGCAACGAGAACAUAUGUGCUCUUUCCUAGGACGUUUGUUUGCAAGUGCAACUUCUAAAGCAGAUUUCAUCCUAUUUUUUUUAGGUCUUCCCGGUUGUUGACGAAUAAACGGUGGAAAGCACUGUACGUUAGCCACGUUAUCUGGAACAGGUAGCGCUGAGUCAACCGGCAUGACCGAUUCAGCGUAUGCGCUAGCUAAAUAAGUGCUUUUAUAGUAAGGACUGCACAGUGAUAUACGAGAAACAUUUCUUUCCUCUGCAGCUGCGAUUGCGUGUACACAUGGUAUUUUCUCGACAUCGAAACGCCGACAUGUGCACUUUCGCUCAACCAAAUUAACAACAUUCAAAGACUCGCCAGCAGCGCCAUAUUUAACUUCAGUGUGAUGGUCAUCAAUCCUUUGAACCGUCCAAUCCCGGGAGGCACUUACACGUCCCUAUUAACAAAACCCAAUAUUCGUGAAACGGCUUACUUAUUAUUUAUAAAGCUGGCUUAUGCAAUAUAACGACUGACUUAUUAGAUUUAAAGACUGACUUAUUUUACUGUUACGACUGACUUACUUGUAAUAGUUUCUCCACACCGCGCGUGAGUGUGGUUGACUGCGAUCUGGCAUCCACUCUUCGUUCAGCAAACCAUCUGGUCAUCAUAACCCGUAUCGAUUCCAAUAUUCGAACAAUGUUAAGACCUCUAGCAUGCGAUAAUGCUCUGUUCAUUGAUUCCGCUAUGUUCGUAGUCAUCAAAUUGUACCUCUCGCCCGGGAAAUAAACACGUGUCCACAGUCUGACAUCAGCUCUUUCGAGGUAGCCGUGGAGAUCAGGAUUAAGUGCUUCAAUCUCCUCGAAAAUCAUAUCAAAGUCAGACAUUCUAAAACAUCUCGCCGCUUUCUUCACCAGCCGAAAUACAUCUUUUCCUUUGUACCGUCCCAAUAUGUUUUUAUACAAAUGAUAGGUGCAUAUUCCACGAGCAGCUAACGGAUACACAUUUGUAAUUGCUUUCCCUAUCGAGUUAUGCCUAUCUGAUAUUAUCGCAAGACCCUCCUGGUCAGGAAUCAACACUUUUAGUUGCGUAAAAAACCAAUUCCACGAAUCAUCAUUUUCAGUGUCAACCACUGCGAAGGCUAUUGGAAAAAUCUGAAAGUUACCAUCCUGAGCUAGUGCUGUGAGUAGCGUCCCUUUAUAUUUACCAUUAAGAAACGUACCGUCGACGACAACAACUUUGCGCAUGAAAGGAAACCCAUUAACGCUCGCACCAAACGCAAGAAACACAUACAUGAAUCUUCCAAGCUCAUCGAUUUGAAGACGCGUAACUGUAUUCGGAUUUGCCCUUCUUAUCAUGUAUAAGUAAGAAGGCAAGAGUUCAAAACCACACUCAGGUGUGCCCUCAUCGAUUUCCCUUGCACAUUUAAGCGUCCGGUGUGAUUUCCAAUAUUCCAUCUGCUCACAUGAAAAAACAAUUUACAUAACUCAGCCACAUCAUAUCAUUAAGACGGUCACAACGUAAACAUAACUCAACCAUAGUUUUGUAACUCAGCCAUUUCUAACAUAAAAUAACCCAGCCUAUACUCUACCAUAACUCAGCCGUUGUAACAUAAUUACCUUUACACCAAACUGCUUAGUGAUAGCUAUUCCGACACUCUCAGGGCGAACGGCCGGACCAACGUCGCCGAGAAAGUUCUUGUACAACUCUCCUAAAAUAUCCGGUGUUGCAUUUCGAGAUCGAUUAGAACGCUCAGUUACAGAACAUGCAUGAUCCGAGUCGUAAAUACGAAUAUAAAACUGCGGGGACAAUCCUUCGGUAGAUGCACGAACUCUCCAUGUACAUCCAUCAACCCAACACUUAACAACGUAUGUUGUCAGGUUUGAUAUUUCUACAUCAAAAUCAAAUUGAUGCCUCACUGUAAAAAGUUUCAGUCGUCUCUUCAAAUGCUUUUUAGUCAAGUAUCGUUGUCCUACCGCAAGGUCUAACGACGACAUCUCCAACUUCAAAACCUCCAGAUUCCCUUUAGAUUCGCUCAUCAAGAAGUUCUGAUAUCUCUUCUUGGAAGGUAGCUUUGGUGAAUCUUCGUCUUUUUCGAUAGGAGACUCACCGUAUGUGCUGAAGUUAUCAUCUUCAGAUGACGCACCGUCCGAGUCAUCGAACAUAUCAAAUCGACUUUCAAAUUCAUCAUCUUCUUCGUUUUCUUUGCCUAUUUCAUCUUUUCCGGCUACGUCGUGUAUUUCAACGUUACUAAAGCAGUCAUUCUCAAUUUCAUCUUGUUCAUCCUCCAAACUGCAACCAUCGUAACUCCCAUUCUCUAUAGACUCAACUUCUAAAGCUUCUUCUUCUAAAGCUUCUUCUUCUGAAGCGUCUUCUUCUGAAGCUUCUUCUUCUGAAGCGUCUUCUUCUGAAGCUUCUUCUUAUGAAGCUUCUUCUUCUGAAGCUUCUACGUCUGAGCUGUCAUCCUUUUUCUCUGUAAUCUCCACACAGAGACGUAGUUGUUCGCUUUUCUUUAAGCUUAGAAAACAUUGCAAUUGUCGAGUGUUGGACACGUAAACUGGUGGAGUGUUGUGCGCCAUUGUUUUCAAUGUUUUAUUCGAAAACAUGUAGCUAAGCAGAAUAUGAACCUUCAAAUCAUUCAAACCGUAAUCGUCGAUGACAGACUUUGUGAAAUCUUCAAGUUUAGUUUUCUCACCUAAAUGAAGAACUCUACACCCUCUACUGUCGACGUUGAAUACAUAUGGCUUUUUCAUAAUCCAUUUACCGGAAACAAUAAUAACGGGAUCCAUUACCAUAUGAGAAAGAUGAAGAGGACAGAUAACUGAGAUGAUGAAGAAGAAAAGAAAGGCUGUGUAAUCAUUCAAAAAUAAGAUGAAGAAGACAACUGAAAGGUCUCGUAACUCAGUUGUAAAUUGGGCGACCGUUAGUGAUGACAUGUCAAAUCCGAGUUGAUGACAUGGCAGAUGACAUGGAACAUCGAUUAAUCAGCCGACAAACAAAUCCGUAACUCAGCCAAAAUAAGUCAGCCAUCAUGUUUACACUUUGUCAGCCGAUACAUGGAAACAUUCUAGUAAUUAAUCUUUUGACGGUAAGUCAGCCGCAAUAAGGAUGAACAACCAUAUGUCAGCCGUAUCGUUACGUAAAUCAGCCAUCAAACGAGAACAUUCUAGUAAUUAAUCUUUCGCUCAUACGUCAGCCGCAAAGCAGCUGAGUUUACUGUUUAUCCAUGCUUUAACGGCUGACUAAUACAAACCCAGUCGUAACAGCAUCCCAUAACUCAGCCGUGGCUUCAAUAACCCAGCCCAUCCAUGUUCCUUUACUCAGCUGAAAAAAAGUUUCUCAGCCGUUUCUUAACCACGACUCAGCCAAAUUUUCCAGAAAUCAAACCGCCGAUGUAUAAGUCAGCCGUCAUUUGUAUCAUUAAGUCAGCCGUGAUCACAUAACUCAGCCGGAUUUCUGUAAAUCAGUUGUAUCGGCAAGCUGACUUAUAGUUUUAAGUCAGCCACUUUCACUUAAGUCAGUCGUAUGUAUUAAGUUAGCCGUAACGUAAAGAUAAAUCGGCCGUAACUACGUAUCUAUCGCUUAACAGCUGACUUAAUGAAAAUACGGACGCGAAUUCCUCCGUGGCGCCGGUUUUUUGCCUACGUGGCAGCGAAAAGUAAUGGCAUUCUCGUAAAUACGUUUUUUCUCAUAACGUAAAAAAAGGGUACGCUUGGUAUCGAAAAUAUUCUAGUAAUAAAAAAAAGAUCUGUAUCAUUCUAGUCAAUACACCUAAAAUAUGUAACAUUCUAGUAAACUUCCCUUGUAUUUAUCCUCUUUUGUGUCCUCUCUAUCUAAGUAGAUGUACAACUGCAGCUGAUAACCAAUAUAGCUUUGCCUUAACCACCAGCUUGGUUUUGGCUGCCACUAAGUAAGAUAUAAUUAGAUGAUAAAAACUGCCACUACGUUGAUACGUAAGCGAGCUCAAUCAAUAACACUUAUAUUGGUACGUAUCUCACAUAAGGAGCUGCAUCACUUCCUAGUCUUACUCCCUUGCCUCCAACUAUUUGUCAGCAAUAAUCAGUGGCUUGUUUAAGCCCUUUUAAGUGCAAUCAUCAAAAGAAUCAACUCUCAAUCUCGACUAUUCUCUUGUAAAUGAAUAAAGAAAAAAGACAAACAUAUUGCAAGACUUACCCAAUGGAAACAGCUAGGAAGAUCAGAGAUGGAGGAACUUGAUGCACCGUUACAAAUGAUGAACCUCAAUCAUUACCUUGUAUGGGUUCUGAAGUUCAUAAAAGCUUCAACUACUAUCUCAUUCUCCAUACUUUUCGUGAUGGACCAACAUCGCCUAACAAAACUUACAAACUCAAUAUACGUUUUUCUUGGUUAUAUAUGAGUAUACAAUAACUAAUAAAGGUAUAGAGACAUUCAUUUGAAUGAAGAAAUAAAACACAUUACCUUUUCCAAUGUUCUUGGCUGAGAUAAGCCAUGCUAGCCCAAAACUGAGUAGUGGUGAGCAGAUUCAAAAACCGAGCAACAUCAUCUAACAUAACUCCAUGCACAGUAGAGUUGCAAUACUCUGAUGAUAAGCAGUAAAUAUUUGAUGGUAGAAAAACGCUGCAAUAGUCUGAACCUUUAGGUUCUGAAACAAACAAAGGAAACAUUUUUACCUUUUAUCAAAAGCCAUUUCUUUGACUUCGCCAUGUCUUUUUUUUUCUAUCUUCUUCAUCCUUUCUUUUUAUGGCCUCUACGGUUCCAAACCAUCAUACUUGUGCUUCUUCUGGGCCAGCUAAAAGACAAAAAAAUGGAAGUGAAUUUGUAAGUUAAAAUGUAGAUACCAAAAACAAAACCUUCGCAGCAGGAAAAGACAUAGAGGAAGCAAUCUGUUCUUCAAUUGAUGAAUCAAUGAGUAAACAAUAAGCUUUCCUUACGGAAACUAAAUGGUUGAAUAAGUUGUGCAAGAGAUCUCUACGAAAGUGUUCAGCUCCUUCCUCUAUGCUUUCCUUUUUGGCAAUCAAGACCUUGUUGGCAACUUUUGUGUCUGUCUCUUAAGAUAUUCAAACUAAGUCUCACACUGGAGAAUUAGACAAAAAGUGUCUAAUAUAUUAAAAGAUAUCCAACUCUAAUUAUUAGGCAUUUUGGGAAUGAACUCAAAAAUAUAAAUCCAUGCGGGCUAGCCUCUUUGGCUCAAAGUGGACAAUAUCAUACUAAUCGGAUAACAUAGAGCUGGACAUGGGUUUUAACAAUCCAAAAAAUUGGUAUCAGAGCGGUUGACGAGAAGUCUGCAAGAAGAUCAUAAUACCCUUCGAGAUAUGAAUGGUAUCCUAUAAGUUAGGAAUGAGAUGUGUGUGGCAGAGAUCAAGUCAGAAGAUCAUGGAAGUUUAGUUGUGGGACACGAGAUGAGUGUGGUACUUAGUUUGAGGGGGAGAAUGAAAGAUAUUCAAACUAAAUCCCACAUUGGAGAAUUAGACAAAGAGUGUCUAAUAUAUAGAGCGAUGUCCAAUUCUAAUUAGUAUGAGACCUUUUGGGAAUGAACCCAAAAGUAAAUCCAUGCGGGCAGCCUCUUUCGCCCAAAGUAGACAAUAUCAUACUAAUCGGAUAAUAUAGAGUUGGACAUAGGCUUUAACAAUCUCAACAGUCUCUGCUGGAUAUACAACAAAAAAUCAUGGCUUUCUUAGAAUACAUAUUUAUAACACAAAACAAAAGUUUUUAAUCAGAAAGAACGUCAAUUAAAUGGUUGCCUAAAUAUCUCUAUAUUUUUUUUUGGUUUUAGAGAAGAUGGUUUCGAGAGAAGCUUACCUAUUUAUACUCUUAGCUAGACCGCCUCGCCAAGGAGAGAUCGCAUUCAAGGCUAUAUCGUGGAUGCUUGGAUAAAUAAGAGAUUAAAAACGAUGAAGAAACAACUUGGAAGCAUUUCAGAGAAACAUGCGAAGAUCAGAAGUCGCUUCCGUACAUUGAAGAUAGACGAACCCUAAUCUCUAUCAGUCGCGUAAAGCACAAUUAGGGUCAGAUCUAUUGGGGCUAUCAGGCCGUAUACCCGUCAAAUCAUAAGCACAUACAGUUUAUAGAGCUUAUAAACACGGCAUAAGAAAGGUAACGAAUUAAUUAAGACCAAAAACACAUUGUCUUGCGAGUUAAUGAUACGGUGAAGAUUGUGGAGAGCGGACACGUGUCGCGCUGUGGUUUAACGACUUUCUGACCUGGAAUCUGAUGUGGAGCCUUCAGGAGUGAGCAAACUCAACUUUAUAUAUAAAGAUAUUCAACUCUGAUUAGUACAAGGCAUUUUGGGAAGGAGUCCAAAAACCAAAUCAUGCGGGCUUUGCCUUUGGGCCCAAAAUGGACAAUAUCAUACUAAUUAUUCGCGGAAGAACUGGACAUGGGCAUUGAAAAAGCCCAACAAUUGGUAUCAGCCAGGUUGAUGAAACUUGUGUCAAAAGUCUCUCCUUAAUGACGAUACAAAUAUUAGGUGGAUAUUCCUAAUGGUGCUACAAGGAUUAGGUGGUGAAUGUUAAUGGUGCAACAAGGGUUAGGUGAAUAAAUCCUAAUGGUGUAACAAGGAUUAGGUGAAGAGUCCCGUUGGUGAUUAUGGCGGUACAAGAUGUGUACCAGGUUUCGCUAAAGGCUGGAGCCAAGGGUUUUUCGUGGUAUUUGGUUUGAGAGAAGGUUUGUUGUGAAUGCAAACAAAGUCUCACAUUGAAAAUUUAGACAAAUAUUGUAUAGUAUAUAAAGAGAUGUUCAAUUUUGAUUAGUACGAGGCCUUUUGAGAUUAAAAAUUUAGACAAAUAAUGUCUAAUAUAUAAAGAGAUGUUCAACUCUGAUUAGUACGAGGCCUUUUGGGAAGGAGCUCAAAACCAAAUCCAUGCGGGCUUUGCCUUCGGGCCGUGGACGAUAUCCAAUGUGAGACUUUGUAUGCAUUCACAACAAGUUAGGAGAGGGACUGAAAAAAGCUGAGCACUUGACAAACAAGAGACGCACGGUUAUUACUAGUACUGCAUCAUGAUCUGUGCAGCCGUCAAACUACCACUCGAUCCACUUCUAUUGAGGAUCUGGCUUACUUCAUGUGUCAUCAUCUUGACCACAUGCCCCUCUUUAUCCACAUCGAGUGCACACUGCACUUGUUGCUAUUGUAUGAGUGAUUCCAUCAUCACUCUCUUCAUGAUCACUUUGCAUCACUUUUUCGACGCACUUUGAUAUUUGUACCAUGAACAACUUCUUCUUCUGGCUCCAUAAUUAAUGCUUCUUGAUCUAUGUGAAAACUAACUCUGACAGAGUUGCAUCCUUCUUCUGAUGUUUUUUCUUUUAUCUUAUCAAGCGAGCCACACUUGGCUAACAACACCUUUUCAAUCCUCUUGGAUUCAAUGAACGCUUUAUUCAUCCUCUUGGAUUCAAUGAACGCUUUAUUCAUCCUUUUAGACAUGUUUCUUCUCUUCUGACGAGCUACACAGUCUACCUUUGUGUAUCCAACCUUCCCACAGAACCAACAGCACAUCCAAUAUCAUUUCUUGUUUCUGCGGUAUUAUAUGCAUUACUCAAAAGAGAAGCUGGGCAAGUACUGUGGGUCGCCUAGAUCUACCUUGAAGUGUGACUGGAGCAGCAACAAUAGCUACAUUGAUGACAAGAAUGACGAAGGAGUCUAGCAUAACUUUAUCCAAACAAUUUUUGAACUCUCUGUUCUUGCAUUUUUUUAAUAUAAAUAAUGAAUAAUGACUUGUGAA
This is a long non-coding RNA of Brassica rapa (field mustard), 7943 nucleotides long. RefSeq lists it as uncharacterized. The record is from RefSeq and is a predicted model, not a curated record. NCBI's taxonomy places the organism in Eukaryota, Viridiplantae, Streptophyta, Magnoliopsida, Brassicales, Brassicaceae.